AACACUGUUAACCUGCGGUACCUGCGGAGGGAUCAUUAACAAGCUGUGGGGAUCACCCUGAAAGGGGCAGAUCUCUCACCUGGCCAUCCUUGUUUAUCCUAACGCUUGUUGCUUUGGUGGGCCCGCUGCAAGGCCGCCGGGGAAUCGAGUUUCCAGGCUUGUUGUCCACCAAGGUUUUAACUAAAUCUUUAAAGAGUUUUUGCUGUCUGAGUGGGGAAAAAGCACAAAUUGAAACAAAAA
Molecule: unclassified non-coding RNA, 240 nt
Filed under: soil metagenome
Description: partial contains 5.8S ribosomal RNA, internal transcribed spacer 2, and large subunit ribosomal RNA
Source: RNAcentral